This 25-nucleotide unclassified non-coding RNA is filed under the name Mus musculus (house mouse). RNAcentral describes it as "oocyte_clustered_small_RNA7825". The record is from RNAcentral. Lineage: Eukaryota; Metazoa; Chordata; Mammalia; Rodentia; Muridae.
UCUUGCAGGGAAGGUACACAGAACA